This is a long non-coding RNA of Malaclemys terrapin pileata, 2746 nucleotides long. RefSeq lists it as uncharacterized. NCBI's taxonomy places the organism in Eukaryota, Metazoa, Chordata, Testudines, Emydidae. The transcript has 2 exons. The record is from RefSeq and is a predicted model, not a curated record.
GUGCUUGGAAGCAGUUUUUUAAAAAGCAGUAAAUUAACAAAAGAAGAAUUGGGCCCCAAAAUUAAAAAGUUUGGGUCUGCAUAAAGCAACUUUGUUUAAAGCCAAUUGCCCCCCGUUAAAAUUGGGGGGGAAAAAAAGAGCAAAAAAGAAAAAGGAUUGAGUCAAAGAUUUGAAGACAGCUUUUAAGGCUUGUCCACCCUGGAAUUUUUGUUAAGUCUGGCUGAGCAUGCAGGGAAAACCCCGAGUGCACUGCUACCGCUGCCAGUUGCCUCCCUGUAGGGAGGCCGGGCGCCCCCAGCUCCCCCAACAGUUGCACAUUUGGACACCAAUGGCUGCAUCGACGCGGUGCCUUUUCAGGCCCUUCCCUUGGACCAGCCCGUGUACCUGUUCCAGAUCGGUGAUCAGGUCCUCGUUAAGAAGUGGAAGCGUGACCCCCUUACACCACGGUGGGACGGCCUGCACACUGUCUCGCUCAUCAGCCAAGCUGCAGUCAAAGUUCUUGGGAGUGACAAAUGGACACACCAUACGCGGGUAAAGCGGUUUCUGAACCCUAACCUGGAAACUGAGUCAGCAGAAGAGGACAUCAGCCCUCUGCCCCCCCCGGCUCCGGAUGCCCGGGGUGGCACAGGUGAAGACUACACCUGGGAGUAUCAGUACUUGGACGGACUAAAGGGACUGUUUAGAAAAAGAUAAUGAAAUUAUUGUUAAUAUCUUUGUUUAUGUGCUUCCACCACUAUUAUGGUUGGGAAAAUAGGUUUUUACAGCUGGGGGAGACAAUAGCAAAAUCCAUUAACCUCAGUAACUGUUGGGUAUGCGGAGGCCCAGGGGAAUUAAAUGAAUGGCCUUGGGUAGCCCAGCCUGUACAGCCCAAAUGGUGGCUCAGCAAUUUGAGUAUAGUCCACGAUGGAACGGGGGUUUGGACUGAGGAUAGUAGCCCCUGGCGACUGUAUUCUUCUGGAAAGGGUAUUCUCUGCCUUAAUUGGACAAGGCGGGAGGGAGUGUACUUGGGAGAAAGCAAGUGUGAUUGGACUCUAUCCCCAGGGUUUGAUUGCUGGGACCCUUAUUGUCAUCUGUAUGACUGUUCUAAAUAUCAGGGGCAAUGGAACCAGACCCAUGUGAGGCUCACCAAUAAUAGUUGGGUGAAAUGCUCCAAACAAUACUACCCUACGGCCGAAGGUUGCAGGGCAGUAGGACAGGAUGGGUUCUUUGACGCCCUAUUCACGAGUUGCCAGGUAGACAAUACCACUAGCAAGGACCACGUGGUACGGUGGUUUCAAAUGGGCAUGGCAAAAUCAGAAUGGAACUCGAGUAUGGGGUUUUAAACAAUUCUGGUCUAGCACCAAUCAGCCAAAAUGGGGCUGCGAUUGUGUCUGGAAAGCAGGAGCUGGGGCGUGGAGAUGUGAUUAUUGCAGUUCAGCUGAUGGAAUGGUGGGGGGACCUUUAGGGCCAGGUAAUCCUUUAUAUUUUGACCAUCUAGAGGACGAUGAGAAUGAGGAAACCUGGGAUGGCCCCUUUGCUAAUGGAACCUGGGCUCUAAAGGGCCAUUAUUGGAUCUGCGGGUCCUAUGCCUACUGAAGAUUGCCUCCAAAUUGGUCUGGGAUAUGUUAUGUUGGAUAUAUAAGACCCUUGUUCUUUCUAUUACCCCAGAUGCAGGGAAAUAAAUUGGGAAUUAAGGUUUAAUUAGAGAAAGGCGGUUCGUGGAUUCCACCCUGACCGCCGGAAGCUCCCAAACAUGGGGGGCUCAGGAGUGGCCCCCUGAGAGAAUUAUAAAACAUUAUGGUCCAGCUACAUGGAAUCCUAAUGAGUGGAUCUCGGGGGCAAGGGAGCCCAUUUACAACUUGAAUCGGAUAAUUAGGCUGCAAGCCAUUUUAGAAAUAAUAACUAAUCAGACGGCUGCAGCUCUUGAUCUUUUGGCCGAUCAGUCCACUCAGAUGAGAAAUGUGCUUUACCAGCACCAUCUAGUUCUUGAUUAUUUGCUGGCAGAGGAAGGGGGAAUCUGUGCAAAAUUAAACGAAUCUAAUUGCUGUUUACAAAUAGAUGAUAAUGGAAAGGCGGUAAAACAGCUAACAAAAGAAAUGAGGAAGCUAGCCCAUGUCCCGGUCCAAACAUGGGGUGGGUGGAAUAUGGACUGGUUCACGUCCUGGUUACCGCAACUGGGAUGGCUCCGAGAAGGCCUUCUUCUCUUUGUACUCUUUAUUACAACCCUAUUAACCCUAGCUUGCUUUGCUCCCUGUGUAGUUGCAUUAGUCUGACGAAUGGCUAAUCAAAUUAUACACCAACAAAUGAUGGCACUAUACCAGCCGGUGAAGGCUGAGGAUUGGGGGCCAUAAGGCUCUCAAAAUGCUUUUUAGGGGGGAAUCUUGUUAGGCCCAAGAACCGAAAAACAUGUUUAUCUCGGCUUCUGCUUGUUAUCCCAGUAAACAUGCUUAUCUCAGUUCUCACUGUCGUUUCCCAUGCAUGAAGCUGCACGUAUACGGGAUGUAUAGAAGAUAUAUGGAAAAGGGGAGGGGGUUGGACGGACCCUGGGAAAGGAAUGUGAAGGACGGGAAGCUAAACAGAUGUAUCCUGAUUACUACUAGAACUGAGUUUAAACAAUGCAUAGGUUAGCAGAAUUUAGACACGCUAAGUUGUUUGUCUCUCUGUAUAAAAGAAGCCCAGUUGUGCUUGUAAGGUGUGUUCCUCCCUCUGGCAUGAGUCGAGGGGGACACCCGCUCAGCUGACUGAUCAAUAAAGAACUUGAAGCCAU